Molecule: non-coding RNA, 182 nt
Filed under: Vogesella sp. LIG4
Lineage: Bacteria; Pseudomonadati; Pseudomonadota; Betaproteobacteria; Neisseriales; Chromobacteriaceae
Description: 6S / SsrS RNA
Rfam family: 6S / SsrS RNA
About the family: E. coli 6S RNA was the first non coding RNA to be sequenced, but its function was unknown until recently. It consists of 184 nucleotides that fold into an extended hairpin structure with a large single-stranded internal bulge. The 6S RNA specifically associates with RNA polymerase holoenzyme containing the sigma70 specificity factor.
Source: Rfam by way of RNAcentral
UACCCCCUGCGGUGUUCGGAAAGGCUCCUAAAUUCCUUUGUACCAAUGCGUUCGCUUUGGUUGCUAGCAGUAGGUUGCAGGUGUGUCGUGCCCCUUGCGGGUACGCCCGAAGCAACUGGCAGGCGGCCCCCUGGAAACAGGGUACAAGCGAAUUUUGCCGGACCGACACUCGCGGGGGACUC